UAACGUUGAAUAGCUAACCCCUAUGGCAGUGUCUUUUACAUUGACCUCUGCCCUUAUUUUACCUCUCUCUCAGUUGGCCACGUGUCACCACUGCAGCAUAUCUUCCAGACAUGGCCUUGUCUACAGGGAGUCCAUGGCAGCUCUAUCCAGGAACGUCAUGGCUCCCAGUUACACCAGGAGGCAUAGUUCACAGGCUAGAACCCUGCCACUGCGAGCUAGGGGAAGACUCAUCACCCAAAGGCCUGUCGGAGAGGCCAAGAAUCGGCCUAGAGCUCCAAGGCCCAAUCCUCCAGAGUUCAUUGCCAUAUCUUCCUCCAAGCUGGCCGGUGUGAAACAUUUUGUAUUUGUCCACCUAAGGAAGCUUUUUUCAUUGGGGGACACCCAGAGGCGCAGAAAGAGUGGCCUGAAACUUUUCUCCUGAAGUUUUGCAAAUAUAAUUUGAUGGUAAACAUCAAUGGGCUUGAUGAUCCACAAGGUGGCGCUCCAGUAAUUCAGUAGGAAGAAUCAGUGAUAGAGGAGUCAGCAGGAAGAUGCUCACUUGUCAAGGCUAAGACAUGCAGGUACUCAGACCUCCCACACCUGAGAGAUUGAAGAAUGGUGACUGCAGGCCUAUACCUUUGGCAGGAGUCUCUAUGGCGACCAGUAGCCAUGUGGGUGAGAUGGUUCUGGGUGGAAUGCAAGGCAAUAUUUUUGCAACACUUUUGAGCUUUCUACAUAUUUAUUGUUCUGAGGUAUGAUGUAAAAAAAAUCAGACAUACUAUUUCAUUUAGUCACAUGGUACAACACUUGUAUCAGUAUCAACUUUUAAUGUGAUUAGGUUUUUGAAAUAUAAUUGAAAGUCUGUAGAGUCAUAUGAUAUUGUUGCCUCCAGCUCAGGCCAAGAAGGAGCCAUUGCAUAUCCUGUUUAACAGUAAAUUGUAUUGGAUCAAGUGUGAGCUUAAUGACUGUAUUAUUAUUGUUGUCAAAUGUUUAAUGCAAUGUUAUAAACAUGUACAGCAGUAUAAUAUACUUGCUUGUUUAGAAAUAAUAUACAGAAACUAAUCUAAUAAAGGCUUAAAUGCUAUUUGGGUAAAAAUA
Oncorhynchus kisutch (coho salmon) is the source of this 1077-nucleotide long non-coding RNA. RefSeq lists it as uncharacterized. NCBI's taxonomy places the organism in Eukaryota, Metazoa, Chordata, Actinopteri, Salmoniformes, Salmonidae. The transcript is spliced from 2 exons. The record is from RefSeq and is a predicted model, not a curated record.